UGCGUAGGCGGAUCAAUAAGUCAGUGGUGAAAUCUCUCGGCUCAACCGGGAAACUGCCAUUGAUACUGUUGAUCUUGAGUUCGGUUGAGGUAGGCGGAAUGUGUAAUGUAGCGGUGAAAUGUUUAGAUAUUACACAGAACACCAAUUGCGUAGGCAGCUUACUAGACCGACACUGACGCUGAGGCACGAAAGCGUGGGGAGCGAACCGGAUUAGAUACCCGAGUAGUCC
RNAcentral lists this ribosomal RNA (229 nucleotides) under uncultured bacterium. RNAcentral's name for it is "partial 16S ribosomal RNA". It matches the Rfam family "Bacterial small subunit ribosomal RNA", at positions 568 to 796 of the family's 1533-position model. The record is from RNAcentral.